AUACGGAGGGAGCGAACGUUAUUCGGAUUCACUGGGCUUAAAGAGUGCGUAGGCGGCCUUUCAGGUGAGGUGUGAAAUCCCCCGGCUCAACCGGGGAACUGCGCUUCAAACCGUUAGGCUUGAGGGAGACAGAGGUGAGCGGAACUGAUGGUGGAGCGGUGAAAUGCGUUGAUAUCAUCAGGAACACCUGUGGCGAAAGCGGCUCACUGGGUCUCUUCUGACGCUGCGGCACGAAAGCUAGGGUAGCGAACAGGAUUAGAUACCCCAGUAGUCC
This 274-nucleotide ribosomal RNA is filed under the name uncultured bacterium. Its description in RNAcentral is "partial 16S ribosomal RNA". It matches the Rfam family "Bacterial small subunit ribosomal RNA", at positions 523 to 796 of the family's 1533-position model. The record is from RNAcentral.